Molecule: ribosomal RNA, 484 nt
Filed under: uncultured bacterium
Lineage: Bacteria
Description: partial 16S ribosomal RNA
Rfam family: Bacterial small subunit ribosomal RNA
Source: RNAcentral
AUUGAACGCUGGCGGCAUGCUUUACACAUGCAAGUCGAACGGCAGCGCGGGCUUCGGCCUGGCGGCGAGUGGCGAACGGGUGAGUAAUACAUCGGAACGUGCCCAGUAGUGGGGGAUAGCUCGGCGAAAGCCGGAUUAAUACCGCAUACGACCUGAGGGUGAAAGUGUGGGUUCUUCGGACCUCGCGCUAUUGGAGCGGUCGAUGGCAGAUUAGAUAGUUGGUGGGGUAAAGGCCUACCAAGGCGACGAUCUGUAGCUGGUCUGAGAGGACGACCAGCCACACUGGGACUGAGACACGGCCCAGACUCCUACGGGAGGCAGCAGUGGGGAAUUUUGGACAAUGGGCGAAAGCCUAAUCCAGCAAUGCCGCGUGUGUGAUGAAGGCCUUCGGGUUGUAAAGCACUUUUGGCGGGAACGAAAAGGACUGUGCCAAUACCACGGUUCGAUGACGGUACCCGCAGAAUAAGCACCGGCUAACUACGUG